Cinara cedri is the source of this 1469-nucleotide non-coding RNA. The record is from the annotation of a GenBank genome assembly. Lineage: Eukaryota; Metazoa; Arthropoda; Insecta; Hemiptera; Aphididae.
ACUUAAUAAAAUAAAUGUUGUAUUUUCCACAUUCAAAUCUAUUUAACAUUUAAACUGAUGAUGAAAAAUAAUGUGAAUUUGUAGCUUUUUUCAUAGGCAUUCGAAUGAUUUUAGUACAAAUUUGUAUUACCAAAAUUUACAAUGUUAUGCAUGUUUGAACAAAAUUAAUUUCAAAUUCCAUGUUAUUUCAAUGGAAAAAAGUAAGUGGAUUAAGGCACAUGUUAAUAUGAAAACUAAGCUGGGUAAAUUGGAGUGCAUUUUUUAAAUUAUUUAAUAGCAAUUGAAGGGUUAAGACCAAAAAAAAUUGUUACAGAGCUUGUUAAGAACAUGGCUAAUCUAUAUAUUAUUAUAUUAAUAUAUUCUAAAUUGUUAGUUUGUGACUUAUGCAUUUGUAUCUAUAAUUAAUAGUGUUGUCUGUGUUUACAUAAACAGACCAACAUAUUAGUUUUAGUUAAUAUUGAUUAAUUAAAAACUUUUAUUAUAGGUACUCACCUAAUUUUUUUAUACUUAGUUUUUAUACACACAUUAUAUAGAUACUACCUACCUAUGUUAUACCUAAAAUUAUAAUAGGUACACCAAAAUAAUAUUUGUAUUUACAUUUAAUAUAUUAAGUUAUAAAUAUAUUUUGUCUACAAUCAAAAAUGCUACUUACAUAAAUUUUCACUUUAAUUUUUUCUAUAUAUUGCUAUGUAUACAUAUAUAGGUACAUUGUGCAUAAAUUAGAGAAAAACAUUGUUUAUUAUUGGUUUUCAUUUGGUUGAACAUUAUAAUUAUUAUCAUUUGGAUAAUAACAUUAUUGUCCCCAAGUGAAUUCUUUAAAAUUUAAUCUAAUAUUUAUUUUAUAUAUUAUCUUAAAAAUAAAACCGAACCAUAAACUGUAAAACAACAUAGGUGGGUAAAUUUUUUCAAUUGGGUAUCAUUAUGGUUGUUCCUAAUUUGAAAUAACUUGUCAAUUUUUUAAUAUGAUCACUGCACUAUUUAGAAUUCUACAGUCUUGUAUUAAAUUUGUUUUUACUGUUAUUAUUAUUUUUAUUACGAAUUUAAAACAACCUAAAUUUACUGGAAACUUAUUUUGAGUACCUACUUAGAUGGGUUUUCAUAUGGAUGCCUGUAUUAUUAUUUAUGCAUUAUCCACAGGGUGAUCCAAAAAUCAGAAAUUGUACAGAUUCUUUUAAAUAUUAUCAAUCUGUAGUAGUCAAAUUUACUGUUAUUUUAGAGAACAUGUUUUUUUUGUACUAAUGAUAAUAUUUGUGUUGACAUAAAUGACUAAUAUGUAGCUUAUUGAAAUGUUUAUUCAUUUGGUACCUAUUAGAUAUUGAUUUCUCAAACUAUAAUCUUAAUUUUUCACCACUGUUCAUAAAUUAUAAAUAUCAUAAUAUUUAAAUUCUAUAAUGUAUAUAUUUUAAAUUAAUUUGUACAAGCCAUUAUUAUUAGAGUUAAAUAGUAUUUUAAAUUAAAAAUGAAUUGAC